GCUAAUGGAACGGUCCGGUCCCCGGGCCAAUAAAGAACUUACCAAAUACCAAAGGGGGUGGCAAAUUGCAGAAUUCCUGAAUUCAUGGAUAUUCCAAUGGCUUGGCCUCCCCUUCCCACCUCCGGUGGCAGGGGGCCCUCCGGCA
RNAcentral lists this ribosomal RNA (145 nucleotides) under Caulerpa racemosa f. occidentalis. RNAcentral describes it as "5.8S ribosomal RNA". Lineage: Eukaryota; Viridiplantae; Chlorophyta; Ulvophyceae; Bryopsidales; Caulerpaceae. The record is from RNAcentral.